This 79-nucleotide microRNA precursor is filed under the name Cajanus cajan (pigeon pea). RNAcentral describes it as "miRNA gene-KK1_042299". Lineage: Eukaryota; Viridiplantae; Streptophyta; Magnoliopsida; Fabales; Fabaceae. The record is from RNAcentral.
ACUUUUAAAAUCGGCUAUCUAAGAACCGAUUUUAAAAACUACAUACAAAAUCGGCUCAUAGAUAGCCGAUGUUAAAAAU